GAUGAACGCUGGCGGCGUGCCUAAUAAAUGCAAGUCGAGCGAACAGACGAGGAGCUUGCUCCUCUGACGUUAGCGGCGGACGGGUGAGUAACACGUGGAUAACCUACCUAUAAGACUGGGAUAACUUCGGGAAACCGGAGCUAAUACCGGAUAAUAUAUUGAACCGCAUGGUUCAAUAGUGAAAGACGGUUUUGCUGUCACUUAUAGAUGGAUCCGCGCCGCAUUAGCUAGUUGGUAAGGUAACGGCUUACCAAGGCAACGAUGCGUAGCCGACCUGAGAGGGUGAUCGGCCACACUGGAACUGAGACACGGUCCAGACUCCUACGGGAGGCAGCAGUAGGGAAUCUUCCGCAAUGGGCGAAAGCCUGACGGAGCAACGCCGCGUGAGUGAUGAAGGUCUUCGGAUCGUAAAACUCUGUUAUUAGGGAAGAACAAAUGUGUAAGUAACUAUGCACGUCUUGACGGUACCUAAUCAGAAAGCCACGGCUAACUACGU
This 496-nucleotide ribosomal RNA is filed under the name uncultured bacterium. RNAcentral's name for it is "partial 16S ribosomal RNA". It matches the Rfam family "Bacterial small subunit ribosomal RNA", at positions 28 to 506 of the family's 1533-position model. The record is from RNAcentral.